CAGUGUUUCAAUUUCAAAAUAGUUUUGUUAAAAAAUGAUUGGUUUAUUAAAAAGAAAAAAUAAAAUAAAAACACAGCAAAGCAGAACUUUUUACUUGUUAGGAUAUUCUACAGUUGGCAGCAGUUCAGCAGACUGUCUAUGAAUCAUAGUUCUAUGAAUUUUUAAUUUAUAACCUCAAUAUUUUUCUAAUGUCAACUGUUUAAUGUACCACAUAAACUUUUUGAAAAAUAAGCAAUAGCAUAGUUUUUUCAUGUUUUGAUUAUUAGUAAGCAGCCAGUAGCACCAUUCAUGUCGCCCAUAAAUCAACAGUACAGUUGGAAAUAAAUAUAGAAAUAGGUGAAUUAAGAUAUCAAAAGAGCAGGAUCACCUUGGACUACAAAAAUACAUGUUGGUUCAUUAAUUUAUAUGAAUGACUUAUUUUGCAAGGAUGCAUUGAAAUAUUUAGGACUAAUUUACAUCCAGGAAUUGGAGGAAGUAUAAAGAAAACCAUUCGAAAAUCAUGUGUUUCAUUUAGAUGACUAUAAUGCUGAAUUGUGCAGGCUCAUUCAGAGUUAUAUUAGUUUAAAACUUAUAGUAUGAUGUAACAGUAUUUGUUUAGUUAAUAAUUUGGUGCAUACCCUUGUUUGGGCAAGUAUUGUUAGUGCCCAAGGUGACAUAUAUAAACUUCACAGUUGCUGAAACAUCGAAUUUCCAAUUUUUAUUAGGUAAAAGGGCCAACAUUUUUCAAUUACAUGCAAGCAAUUUCUAUUAUGUUUAAAAAGGCUUUAAAUCGUAAUUGCCACGUUAUUACGAAAUACAAAUGUUGCCAUUUAUAUUUCAACUUUAAAUUGUGAUUAGCCUCAAUUGUUCCAUUAUAUGUAAAAUUGUUGACUGUGAACAUAAAUUAUAAUAUACAUACAACUACAUUAA
This is a long non-coding RNA of Agrilus planipennis (emerald ash borer), 909 nucleotides long. RefSeq lists it as uncharacterized. The transcript has 3 exons. The record is from RefSeq and is a predicted model, not a curated record. Lineage: Eukaryota; Metazoa; Arthropoda; Insecta; Coleoptera; Buprestidae.